GGGAUAACACUUGGAAUCAGGUGUUAAUACCGUAUAACACUAUUUUCCGCAUGGAAGAAAGUUGAAAGGCGCUUUUGCGUCACUGAUGGAUGGACCCGCGGUGCAUUAGCUAGUUGGUGAGGUAACGGCUCACCAAGGCCACGAUGCAUAGCCGACCUGAGAGGGUGAUCGGCCACACUGGGACUGAGACACGGCCCAGACUCCUACGGGAGGCAGCAGUAGGGAAUCUUCGGCAAUGGACGAAAGUCUGACCGAGCAACGCCGCGUGAGUGAAGAAGGUUUUCGGAUCGUAAAACUCUGUUGUUAGAGAAGAACAAGGAUGAGAGUAAAAUGUUCAUCCCUUGACGGUAUCUAACCAGAAAGCCACGGCUAACUACGUGCCAGCAGCCGCGGUAAUACGUAGGUGGCAAGCGUUGUCCGGAUUUAUUGGGCGUAAAGCGAGCGCAGGCGGUUUCUUAAGUCUGAUGUGAAAGCCCCCGGCUCAACCGGGGAGGGUCAUUGGAAACUGGGAGACUUGAGUGCAGAAGAGGAGAGUGGAAUUCCAUGUGUAGCGGUGAAAUGCGUAGAUAUAUGGAGGAACACCAGUGGCGAAGGCGGCUCUCUGGUCUGUAACUGACGCUGAGGCUCGAAAGCGUGGGGAGCGAACAGGAUUAGAUACCCUGGUAGUCCACGCCGUAAACGAUGAGUAUAGGUGUUGGAGGGUUUCCGCCCUUCAGUGCUGCAGCA
This 726-nucleotide ribosomal RNA is filed under the name uncultured bacterium. RNAcentral describes it as "bacterial SSU rRNA". It matches the Rfam family "Bacterial small subunit ribosomal RNA", at positions 140 to 853 of the family's 1533-position model. The record is from RNAcentral.